CCGUUUGGUUCGGGGUUAAGAAAAAAAUAGCUAUUCCAGGGAUAGAGUUAAGUUCAAAAUUAAAGUAGAGUUAAAGUUUUUUUGUGUUUGGUUGGAGGUUGGAGUUAGUCUAGAAUAAUAAAAAAUAGUGUUUGGUUGGGUAGGUGGGAUAAGAAGAUAAUGAUUGAUAAAGAAGGAUAAUGAUUGGUUGGAGUAGGUGGGGUUGGAGUAGGUGGGAUAAGAAGAUAAUGAUUGAUAAAGAAGGAUAAUGAUUGGUUGGAGUGGGUGUGAUAAGAAAGAUAGUGGGUUAUUAUGAAUAGAAAAUAGUGUUUGGUUGGAGUUUGGUAGGGUUAGGUGGGGUUAGCUAAUCCGAGAUAAUUUAUUUGAUGUAGGAUUAGGUGGGGUUAGCUAACCCCACCUAUUUUUUGAAGUGUUUGGAGAUAAAAUAGGGGUUAAGAGGUUAUUCCACCCCUUAACCCCCAACCAAACAAGAGCGAAGAGUUCGGUGCAUUCAAAAGUUUUAUAGCUCCACUCUUCCAUUAAAAAUCAAAUUUGGUGUUUGGUAAAAUGUUGCUCUUAAUAUUAACUAACAUAAUACCGAAGAGAUUCUGAAGACUAGAUUUUGAUCCUCGUACAAAAAAGUAAUAUUAUCUGUACACUCCUUUAUUGGACGGCUAUUAAUGCUUCAUCUUUGAAGCAGUAUUAUUCUAAAAUUUUGGAUAAUUUAUAAAAAACUUAUAAACUUUAGGGUAAACAACUGCAUGUUUGAUUCUCAGGCUGUGAGCGAGGUGAUAUUCUGAUCUUCAAAUUUUAAUUAAUUAUAAUUUCUAGUUCAAAAUUUUAAAAUUAUUAUAGAUUUUCAAAUCUAUAAGUUAAAUUUAAUUUUUAACAAAUAUAUAAUAAAUUUGAAGAGUAAAAUUUCACUCGUCCCGUAGUUCGGAAACCAAACAUGCAAAUCACUUGUAGCGACACAAAAAAAUUGUCGGAUCGUUAGCGCUAACCAUUAAUCCCAGAAGCUCAAGCUGCUAGAAAUACGCAACUAAUUCACUUAAAGUGUACAGAUACAACGUUCGAACAUGAUUCGGCCCAUCUAACCUCACGCCAUUUCGAACAUGACUCGACUCAACAUGAUCUCUCAGCCACGGCACAGAAUGCCGGUCCAUUUAAGCCGCAAAAAGUGAUCUGUCAGUGCUUUUCCGAAUAGAGCUACUCGCCGCGCAUGGAAUUGUCACGUGACUCGGCACGGGUUGGGGCUCGGGAGGGAGGCACGUGGCGCGAGACCCAAUAAGGAUCCGCGAGAACCGCCGCGUCACGGGGCUCCGCACGUGCCGCCACAGGGACACGCGUAAAGCGCAGAUGAGACCCGCGAGAAAGCAACCAUUCGAAUGUUGCACCACCUCGAAUCUCGGGCCCACCACGUUGCUUGCUGUAUACGAAUCCUGUUCAUAGUAACUGGAAAAAAAUAUAUAAAUAAACUUUAAAUAUUAUUUCCGUAAAUUUCGUACUUUUCUAUUUUACUGCCGGUUAAAACAAAUCAAUUUAGUAUUUUUUUUUUUUUUCAUCAAAUUCUUCGUUAAUAUUUUGUUAAAUUAUAUAUAAAAAUUUUUAAAUACCACAUCUAAAAUUAUCGAAUAUUUAUUUUAAUAUCUUUUUAGUUUUAACUUUAUCAUUGAUUUAACGAAAAAAAUUAGUAGAAAAAAAAAAUAAAAAAAAAUAAAAUUAGAGAUACGAAAUUAAUAUAUUUUAAAUUACAGAAUAUUAAAAUUUUAAAAAAAAUGAAAUUAUAAGCGUGAUAUUUAAAGUCCCCCCCCCUAAAAAAGGACAUUAGAAAUAAGUAAAUUACACUUUUCGUCCUCAAACUAUGAGCCAAGAUUAUAGUUUGAUUUCCAAACUUUAAUCUAGUAAUUUUUCUUAAAAAAAAGUAAAAAUUUCUCUUAUAGAUAGGAUUCAUUUAAUUCUAACAUAAAACUGUAAAAAAUAAUUUUUUGUAAAAAAAAUUGAUAGAGAAAAAAAUUUACUUUUUGUAGUACUUGAUUUGCGCGAAAAAAAUAUAUUUUUUCAUCGAUAUUUGUUUGCUUGAAAGAAAAAAAAUUUAUAUUUAUUUGAUACGGUGAAAAAAUAUGAAUGAAAAAAAUUUACGUAGCUUGAAUUUUCGUUUUCUACUAAAAAAAUAAUGAAAAAUAAAAACUUAAAUUUUUCUCCAAAUCUGUAAAAAUAUUUUUACGAAAAAAUAAUUUUACGUCAAACCAAACAAGCGUAAAAAUAUUUUUCAUACCGAACAAUUUUAUGAUUUAUUUUAUACGGAACUAACUUUUAAAAAAUUGUAAAUGUUUCUCCCAUAGUUAGCGAUUUUUUAGUUUAAUACACUGUAGUUCAAGCAUAUAACUUAGUACUUUCUAGUUUCAUUUUCACUAUCUGUUGGUCCCUUAAUUUUUUUUGUAAAAAUAUAUAAAAGAAACUUAAAAUAACAAUCCAGUGGUUUACCACCUUCUCACUUUAAUACCCUCUAAUUUUAACUUUAUUAUUAGUUUAACUAAAAAAUUAACAAAAAAAAUAAAAUCACAGAGUAUUAAAAUGAGACAUUCAAAAUAUGAGAGUACUAAAGUGAGAAUGCUAAACCAUAGAAAAGAUAUUUGAAGUGUUUCUUAUUCCAUAACUCUAACUUAAUUGAUAAAAUAUUAACAAAUUAUUAUUCUAGAAAUUAUGUAAAAAUAUUAUAAUUAAUGAUACAAUAACAAUUAAGAUGCUAUAUUAUUAUCACAUUAACAAUGUUUUCAAACCAAAAAUUGCAACAAUGACAAAUUUAAAGACCAAAAUAUCAUGCACCGCGUAAUUUAAGAACCAAAAGUGCAAAUUACCCUCAGCAGAGUGUGAGAUGGGUUCACCCAACAAUAACAUUGCUCUUAUAGAAAACUUCUUGUUUGAAAUUGGAUUAUUCUCUCCUUAUUAUUAGUUUUUUUUUCUUUUUUCUUUUUUUUUUUUUGCCUACUCGGAAACUAUAAUUUUAUGGUUAACUUAAAGAUACUCUGUAUCUCAAAACAUUGUAAAGUAGUUUCGUGAUUAAUCGACUUCAAACAACCCUAUUAACUAAAGCACUUGUACACACAAACACUUCGCAGCAAAGUGUUAAGUAGAAGAGAACCAAGAGCUUAGACUUGGUAUUAUGUAUUGUAGUAUGUAUGCAUGUACGUACAUACACACCUGAACUUGAGUUCUUUACCAUAGGAUCUUUCCCUACCUUUGAUUAUUAUCCCCCACCUUUAUUUGGUUCACAUCUAUUUUUUGUGAAAAUAAUAACAGAAAUAAUAAUAAUAAUAAUAAUAAUAAUAAUAUGUGUGCUUUAAAAAAAAUUGUUUUCGAUUUGAAAAUUGUUAAUAUCGUCGAGCUUCACAUCUAUAUUUGAAAACGAUUUGAAAAUUGUUAUUAUUAAUAAUAAAAAAUAAUUGUUUCCGAGUAGGUUUGAAAAUUGUUAUUAUCUAUAAUCGAAAAUAAUAAUAGAUUUGGAAACGAUUUGAAAAUUGUUAUUAUUAAUAAUAAUAAUAACAGUAAUAAUAACAGUAAUAAUAAUAAUAAUAAUAGUAAUAGAUAAAAUAGAGUUGAAUGUAAGUAUAUUAUACUUCUGAAUUUUUCGAUUAGACGAUAAAAAAUAUAUCGUAACUAAUUUAUUGUGAUAUACAAAACAAAAUAUUAUGUACAAUAUAAAAAAAUAUUUUAAAAAAUGCCUGACACUGACACAGUUAGAAAAAUGAGUUGCUAAAGAAUGGAAUUGGCCAAAUCUAGUGAUUUGGAGGUAUAGUAGUAAUCAAUUAUCACUCCAUAUAAAUCUUUUUUUCAUUAAUCCCCUUCACUAUACUCUGCAAAUUCACACUCUUAAUUAGGGACUCUGCUUAAUUUCAAAAUUGAACCCUAUUUAUUUAUUUUCACAAAUAUUUUAAACCAAAAACAAAUAUCAUGAAAAAUAAGAAAGAUCAAAACUAAAAAAAUAACUUUACAAACCUAUACAGCCGAAGAAGGAGAGGAAAGAAACCGAAACCGAGCUCUCAAUCUUCGGGGCGUUGGAUCUCGCCCAUCAUGAUGCGAUUGCUGUGGACCUUGAAACCCAGAAGCGACGGGUCGAUUUGCCGACCCUUCUUCCCCUUUUUCUUAAUGUUGCUCUUGCUGCCGCUACCCUGCAUGGAUUCUGAGGAGUCGGAAGGAGCAGAAGCAGACGCGUCGGCUUCCAGUGUGGGCUUUUUGCUGGUGCUCUUCAGCAUGUCGAUGAAGGAAGGCUCCGACGCUCCGGCAAUGAUGCCACCUGACGGCACUCGACGAAAUGUUGCAUCUUUCUUGGCAGACGAUGGAACGUCUGAAACGCCUCCAGGUUCUCUCUUAGCAUCUGCAUGUCCACGAAUAGAUCAUAAGCUUAUUUUUAAAUGAAGAAUUAAAUGCUUACUGAAGUGCACGAAGUUUCCUUUUUUUUCCCUCUUUGAAAGGAGAAAAGAGUUCUAACAAUUCGAUUAUGAAUAGGCAGUUUCCUCAUAGAAUAUAAACCUAUCUGAAACACACACUGCAUAAAUAUCAACGCACAUACUGUAGAGCAUCAAUAGAAGCAUAUACAUAGACACGACAAAAGUAUACGCGCAUAUGAGGGUAAACUUCAUUAAGGGCCCAGUGGUAUUGGGCAUCUCAUUCUAGUUUUCUGUACUGACCUUUCUGUUGGUACCAUUGGGUUUUGCUCCAUGAUAACCAGUUUGGAUUAUAUUUUGGUUCAGGUUUUGAACUGACCCAAUCAUGUAAGAAUUUGGUUUUGGAUUUGAGUUUUGAACAAAGUAUAUAUCAAAAUGCAACCGUGACACAAUCCAAACCUGUUCAUUUGGAUCAAAACCCAUUCCAAAACAGUGCUGACAGGAAGUCCUUUCAGAAAACCAGAAUAGCACCCUCAAGUGAGCUGAAGUGAUACAAACAAACCACAAUGCAUCGAUGUGAAAAUGCACUAUACACAUGGCCCCUUUUUGAAGUUUACCAUACAUAUAAACAUGCAUCUAGAUUGUGUGCACAAAAGAGAUGAGAGAGAGAGAGAGAGAGAGAGAGAGAGAGAGAGAGAAGGGGGCUUUAGGAAUCCUUACCUUUGACAGGAAGAGUAGAAACUAACUCCGAAAAUGCAGCCUCUGAUGAAACAGAAGCUCUCUGAUCAUGGGCGAGCUUUAGUGUUGAACUAUCAGUCCCCUUCAGAGUAGCACUAGAAUUCCUAUCAGGAAAAGAGUUUAAGCAAAAGUGAAGGUAAUUUAGCUAAUAGUAGAAUUAUAUAUCCACUACGAUUACAUUGUCAUUAGCUACUUGGUCCAAUAUAAAAUCAAGGAACAGUGAGAUAGUUAAUUCUUUAACAACUCUUUUACUUUGCGAUGUCAUUCUGGUAGUUUCAAUUUCAUCUCUUUCCUCUCAAAAUUGUUUAGCAGUUCUUCGACCAUUUACCAAUACCCGAACUAUAAAAAACCCUGAAAAAUCAAUAGAAUUUAGUGUUCCCAGAAAGCAGUCUAAUACAAGUUAACCUACUUUUCGGAAACUCUAAAGCAACUAUUUUCCGAGAGUAUGAUUAUUUCAAUUCUUCCUAUCUAAUAUUUAUCUUUUGAAAAGCUUAGUAAUUUUUCACCAACAACAGAAACCAGAACCUGAAACUCUGAAAAUAGCCAAAACUAAACUCAAGAAGCCUACACUGAAGCCUAUAUUGGGCUUUCAGUGAUCUAGUUAUACCAUCAAAUCGCAGUGAGACAGAUGUAACAAUGGCUUCCAGUAAUACAUAUAGUUGUUUCAGCAAUUGUGGACUAAUUAAUUGGAACAUAAGAGAGAGUGCAUAAGCAACAUGCUAGCCAGAGGAAUUAAGAAGUUCAGUUAUGAAAAUACUGCAAUAUAUUACUCAUAUUAUCAAAACAUACUGAGCAAAGCAUUCAAGUAAUAAGUAAGCUUACAUAUGAGAGUUUCAGACAUUCUGGAAAAACUUCACUAUUUGCUACUUGUCAUAACAUUUGAAAGAAAUUUAUAUACCUGUUCUUGCUUAUCUCGCCAACAAAAGCAUUAUCAUCUCCAACCUCAUAAUUCUGAAAGAUAGCAUCCCCACCUGGACAAAUCACAGUAAAGUUCACAUGGAUAUUGUGAAGUAGAAAAGGCAGGAAAAUAAUAUUUAAAGAAGAUUCUUCUACUAAUCACCUGCACUGCCAAAAGUGGCAGGUCUGUUAGGAGCAGCAACUUCCAUUUCUUCUUGACCUCUGCCUACCAUUUGCCCAACCCCAGCUUCAAGAUUGUCCAGAAUAGAUUUACCCAUGAAAUUAGCUUUAGAACCAGGUUUUGUUCUGCUCCUACCGUCAUUUGGAUCGGCAAAGUUCAAUCUUUCUAUAGAUGGAUUGCGACCCAUGGUAUUUACAAGCUCUUCUUUGUGAAUUCCAUCAGCAUCUGUGGGGAAAAGCUUCUGUUCUAGAAACAUUCCACUAGUAGAUUGAAAAGGCAUACCUUGACUGCCAAAAUUAGCAUUUACUAAUCCAUCCUGUGAUGCUUGCCUUGUCGUAGCGAAAAGAGAAUUUUCUACCAAUGAUUCACUGUAGUCUGUUCUAUCUGCAGCAAGCUUACAGGAAUUGUCUGCAAUAGGAUGAGAAUAGAGCCAAGAAGGCUCCCCACGGCCAUAAGAUGAUGAAGGAGAGACAUCAGAAAGCCCUAAUGACUGAUGAGAUUGCAGGACCAUCUUUUGGUUCAUCAUAUUUCCUAAAUCAUGUUCUCGGUUCUCAAAGGAUGAACUCAAUUUCACACCUCUCCUCUGCCUCUCUGCUUCAAUCUGGAACUGUCUCAACUGUGAUUCUAUAAGGUUAUUAGACAGCUGCCUAUUAGAGUCAACCAUCAAGUGCCCCUCCAUGGCAUCCAUGAGUGAACCACCAUACUGUUCAGGCAUCCUAUGUUGAUAGGGAUGAACACUAGAAUGAAUGUGUGAAAGGUCAUUCACAAGGUCAAUGUUUGGCGAGAGAGAGGUCGUAGGUAAUGAAAUUGCCCUAUCAAGAGGAUGGAUCCCCUGACCUCUGUUUAAUAGCUCAUGCAAUGCAACAUUCCGCUCAAUUUGGUUGUUGAGCUCAACGGACGAGGCUCUCUGAGGGGGGUGCACAAAAUCCAAUGGGCUAAGUCUAGAAGAAUGAUUAAGGUGUGCACUAGGUGAUGGCUGGAUGAACUGGUUAAAUCUUUCUUCCAUGUGCGAUUGCUGCCUCGAAGGAAUCGGAAAUUGCUGUGCUCGGAGCAUCUGUUCCUGCUGAAGAUCUAAAAGCAGCUUCUGUUGUUCGAAAGGAAGCAUCUGCCUACUGUUGGAAUGAGAUAAGAUAUCCAACAAAUUCUGACCAUGCUGACGGUUUUGCAUGAAUUUUGCUUGGAUAAGCUGCUCGACAAGUGCAUCAUGCUCUCGUUGAAGAUAGUGGGAUUGCUGCUGUGACUCAUUCAACAGGUGCUGCCUCAACAGAACUUCAUCAAGGAUGUUGUUAUUUCUGUGGCGUGGAUCGCCAUUUAAUUGCUGAUGCAGCAUUUGCUCCAGCAAUAAUUGCUGCUGCUGCUCCUGCUGCUGCUGCAGAAAUUGCAUCUCCUGUUGAUGAAGCUGUUGUCUUAUAUUCUGCUGCUGCAACUGCUGAAGACGUUGCUGUUGGUCAAGUUCAAACUGGAGUUUCAACAUGUGCUCCAAAUCCGGCACUUGGUGAUUAUUAGAUUGUUGAUGGUGCAGAAAAUCGAGAUUUUGCUGGGCCAGUAACUCUUCCUGCUGUAGUCGCUGCUUAAGUAACUGCUGGGAGAGGAGAUGCUCUUCUAAGUUGAACUGGUGUUCAAUAGUGGGCAAAUGACUAGCACCAAUAGCAUCAUGAAGUACAUUUGAACUACUAUUCUUCCUAUACUUGGUGGAAAAUUCAUCAGGAACCAUAUGUUGUUCCUGUCUAUGGCUAAAAAGAGAUACAUCCUUCACAGCCGCAGUUUCAGGAAACGGCUGAUCAACUGACAAAAGAGGGUUCUUUGGCUGAGUUCCUUCCAGCUCAGAGAAAAGUAAUCUACGGGAAUUCAAAUCAUUAUCUUUUGGGUCCCUUUGAUUAGGUAAAGAGACUUGUCCCACUUCAGAUGCCAUUAGAAUAUGACCACUAGAGGUCUGUAACAAAUUACUUUGGUCGCUAGUAAGAUUCACCAGUGGCCUAUCCAUACUCAUAAGCUUUCCCCUGUACAACACUUCUGCAGCAAAUAAGAAAGAAAACAAUCAAUAAAUUGAAACUUCUAAAAGAAUUUUUUUUAUUUUGGGGGGGGGGGAGGGUGGUGCCCCGUAAAGAAAACUAACCGUCAGCAUCCUGUACAGCAAAUUCAUGAAUUCGAGACUCAGAGUUGCCUCUAGCAGACUCCAAAGGCUCGAUAUUUUGAACAGGAGAUACAACAGGGACUUGUUCACUUUUUGAAGUCAAAUGUGGUAUAAGUUCACCAAGUGGCCUGAAAGGAGUGCCUUCUGGGGCAUCUGAAGGGCACACAGGUAGAUCGGUGCCAAAAUAUCCUUCUUCAAGCCAAGACAUAAUAUCAGCAACAAGAAAAGGGCCCUGUAUCCUUCCUUGCGGGUCCCGGUAAAACAAACUCAACUCCUCGGGAGGAGUAGAAGGAUUUGGAGCAACAUCACUACUAUUCGAUAAUUCAAUUGUUUUCUGAAUAACUUGGACGGUUGGUGUAACAAAGAGCGAACUUGAAUCAUAUGGCAACUUAGCACUAACAUCAAAAGUAGCAGCUGGGUCCACUUCUUCCAACUUUGAGUUCUUUAGAAAAUCUGAAUUUCUAGCAUGCCCAUCAUUAUUAAGCAAUUUUCGCUCACCAGGUUUCUCUACAGAGCCAUUGGUACCCAAGGAGACCUUUGUAUCAUAGAAAGCAUCAUUUUCUGAAAUUAGUGGAGAUAUGCGAUCAUUAUCCACUGCAAUAGUUAAAGAUUUGACAUUGUCGCUGAAUUCUCCAAGUAUGUAAUCUGAUCCUGAAAAAAUUGAUCACCAAAGUCAACUAUUCAAAAUCUAGUAGAAUUAACCAACAAGCUAAUAAAAGAAAAUUGUUAUUAAUGAAAAAAAAUGUAUCAGAAAUUGUUCUUACCUAUCUCAUUGUCAACUCCUGUCGCGUGCUCCUUACUUGGAGAAUCUGCUUCACUGCUAGUGACCUUUCCCUCCCAGAUAUCAUUUACAGCUGCCUGCAACCCACAUAAUUUAAUUCCCUUAGAAUAACUAAGUCAAAGAAAGUGCUUAUUUCCCUAUAAACAAAAUAACAUAUCAAAGCAUUUUUGCUAACUGAAAAGAUCACAUGGCUUCUUUCCUGGAUCAGGAUUUUGAAGAAAGAUGGAAGGCAAUGGGGAAAAAACCCAAUUUCUAAAAUAGUUAAUAAUCAUGUUAAAACAAGCAAAUGCAGUGUCAAGAUGCUAUUUGAGCAGAUAUGAACCUCAAAAAUGGAAAUCAUUAACAAUUACCACACAUGUAACAAAGGCGUAAAGUUCAUUUCGAGAAAACAAAUGAGGCAUGCACUUUUGAGUCAGAUUGAAGACACCUGCAUAUUGACACCUCAAUGACCGGCUAAAUGAAAAAAUGCUUUACUGAAGCGAAUAUAGAUAAGCAAUCUCCGCCUUACAAUCCAACUUAUAGGACUUACUUUUUUGGAUACAAAAAAUCAAAACAGGAGAAGAACAGUAUAAAUAUCAAAUCACAAUUUGACCCUUCAAAUCCUUUAUUUGUACAGUAAAAUACUGGGAAGAAGACUGCAUUAGUUGCAAUAAAACAAGGCGUCAAAAUAAGAGAGUCCAGUUAUAUUUGCAGUAAAAUCAACAUCUCUUAUCAUGUACAACUUAAAACUUGUCUAGUCAGCAGAAAAAAUCAUCUUAGAAAACAUAAGAAUAAAGUCAAAUAUAUCCAUUGGUUUGCCUUGUCCCAGGUCAGGAUAAAAGAGAAGGCUUGCAGUAGGUACUUUGACAACAAAGCAAAACUUUUGACAGAGAGACUGCUAUUCAACAUGAUUCAGCCUAACCAAUAAAAAAUGUGCAACAACUUAGUACAAUUCCCUGGUAUAUAUAAAAUUUACUAACUUCGCUACUCAAUUAACAUAACAAAAAAAAAACACACUUAAUCCCAAAGCUCACACAAAAAUAAGAACAACUUAGAUUGCCUUAGAUGUUCUGGGAAUAAAUCGCACAAUGUGUUGGCUAGGUUUUUGCAUAUAUUUAGAGAAGUAUACACAAAUGCAUCUAAUUUAAGGGCCAUAUGUGCAACAAAAUUAGCAAACAGAAAAAAUAAUACCAUUCUUUCCGUUACUCAAAUCAAUACCAUCCUUCAGCAAUUCCCCUUCUUCACAAGGCAUUACGCUUUUGCAGAGAGAAUAUUAUAUACUAGUUAUACUCAACUAAGUGAUCAGAACUUGGUACUCAACAUUCUUUAUAAACAACCUUUUCUACCUUGAUCAGUAUGAAUUGCCAUUCCAAUGAUACAAAAAAAAUAUAAAGCAAAUUCCCAUAUUGAUAUGAAGAAAAACUUUUGUUCUCAAAGGGAAGUUAAUAAAAGCACUAAUCUUACUUAACUAAAAAUUAAGCAUACCUUCUCAUCAUCAUCUAGUGUGAGGAAGGCCAAUGGAGUCACAGAACUAGACAACGUAAUGGAAGGAACUUCUUCUAGACCCUCAGGAGUAGCUUCAAAUGAUGGCAGUGUCCUCUGCUUCCUAUAAAUGUCAAGAAGCUUUCCUCUUGGAUACCGAAAAGUAUGAACAGUUUCAGACACAUUCCUUUCUACUGGCAAAGCACCAAUAGGCCCAGUAGAGAACGACCUGCUUAAAUUUGACCUACCCCUUCCAGGGGCAAAUCCCACAUUUGAUCCCUCUGCACGCCCUUUCUCUAACCCAAAUCCAGGAGCCCCAUGAUGGGCCAUAGUGGACCCACCAGAUUGAAUUUCCUGGCGGUAGCGAGGCCGCCAUUUAUCACGUGAGUCUGACUCCGACAAUGGACGGAGCCCACCAGAAAAAGGCAGCUGCUGCUUUUGAACAUGAGAAUCGUCCUUGUCUACAUCCAUCUUCUUCUCCAGUCGAGAGUCCUUCUCUUUGUCUUCUGGGCCCCACCUCGAUGACCAUUUGCUAUCAGCAACUUCUCUCAUAGAGAUAUUAUCAGAACGGCGAUUAUUUUUGCGAUAUUCAGCAGUUUCUCGAUCUCCUUCCUUUCUACGCUCUCUCCUACCAAGUAAGCUAGUUUCUCUUUCCUCUUCAAGCCAACGACGAUUACUAUCAAUAUCGGGCACAUUCCUUCUCCAUUCUUUCUUAUCCAGAGAACUAUCCAACCGCCACAUAUCUUUUGGAGUGGGUGGGCGAGCAUCCUGUAGCAAGAAGCACCAUAGAGAAAGUAAGACAAAAGAAGAAGAAGAUGAAGAAGAUAUAGUGGGAGGAAAACAUGAGAAUGCAAUACCAUUUGAUUGCUAGCAUUGCAAUAGGUAAUUUGAGACCCAAAGUCAUAAAAGUUGUCUUAAUAUCAACUCUUAUGGAUAAACGUUCAAAAGAACUAAAGCAGGAUGUAGACUAAACAGUGACAAUCUUAAGCAUCUUAUUUUACAAAACAUAGAACUACAUGUCUCAGACUAACAAUAAUCUUAAAUAUCCUGCAAGUCAAAAGUUUAAAUUUUUAUCACAUGAGUACCAGGAGAGAUGCAACUCGGAUAAACAACAAAAAAUGUAACUAGAUAUAGAUGAAGAUCGAGAAUGAAUAACAAAAUGUUAAUAACAAAGCAGACCAGUCAAUUUAAAAAAGAAAAAUGAUGACCUGCAGCUAAAGCAUUCAUUUCCUUUCUUAGGUGUGUAGUUAUGGGUCUUCCCAAUAGACCUGGGAAUUGGAUUUCAUUAACUAGGUUAUCCAUCGGUAUUGCAGAUAUACAACCACGAUCCAGCCGUUGGGCCUUCUAACCAAUCUUAGAUUCCUUUGAAGCCCACUAUUCCUCUAUACAUGUUCACCAAUCAUACAGCAACCUAUGACUGACUAGUUUCAAAGAAAAAGGAUUAUAAAACCAUCUUCCUGGACAUAUUAUGAUUGCUAAUUCUGCAAUCCUGAUAUCAUACAGGAGUUGAACUAACAUCUUCAAGAGUCAAGACAUUGAAAGGAAAGAGGAGAAAAGGAAAGCUAAAACCUUAUAUCUGAUAUUACAUCUAUUAAGUAUAAUUUCCCACUGAAAUGACAUGAAUAAGACAUAACAAGAAAGAAUUAAACCUUCAAAGAAGAGGCAACAUAAAUUUCCUCAUUAAAAAUGUGCAUUUGCAUGCUCCAUUUAUCGAAUAGCUACACAGGUUGCAUAAAUUUAGGGGGAAGAGAAUAGACUAAUACCCCUGAUGCAGCAACAACACCAAACUUGCUAUCAGCAGGUUUAGCAUAAAGCCAUUGUGGCGAAAGAGGAAUGCUAUUCUCAGCCGAAGGUUGAUCUGCAGACAGAACAUGUAAAUUAUAAAUACAGUGGUUGCAGAUACAUCGAAAAAUUAAAAAUAAUAUUGUCAGCUUGUAAAAAUAUAAUCCACUACAAAAGACUAAAAUUUGUGCAAACAAUGAAACAUAUGAAAGAAACAAACAAUGCACACAAUCUUUUAUGACAAGCAGCAACCAGAAAAGGUAAUGUAUGUAUUCAAUUGAUGGGUGGCUAGAACAUCGUGAAGUCUGCGGAAACCAUAAAUACAGUAAUAAAUAAGGCAGCAAAUAUCAAAAAGGUGUGCAGAUGGUAGUACAGUAUUCUCACUCGCACCUUCUUUAAACAACUUAAAGAUUGCCUAACGAACGACGAAUUCCAAGUUCUUCGUGUACAACAGUUCUACCAAAUUUCAUAUUUAAAUUUUUCAUCAAAUCCGCCAAAUCAGCUAAAUCUAAAUCAAUCAAAUACUAGCAAAAGCUCUGAGUUUCACAUUUCAAGCUAUGAUAGAGUUACCAAACUCUUUACGGUGAACAAUCUACUGCUGCAUCAAGCAUCAAGCACAACCGGAAAGAGGCUGCUCUCCAAACCCACUAAGUAACCAGGCGUACUACAUAACCUCCAGAAUAUAAUAAAGCUGCCUGAGAAUCACCCCAACUUCCACAACAAGGAUGAUAAAACUAUGAACUGCUUAAGUACUACAAAAGUCAUCGGCGAGAAACUACACGAAAUCACCUUUUGAUUCAUUGAGAAAUCCCACAAGAGCCUUCUCGUCAUCAUGCUCAGCAGAAACACCACCUGCCAAAUUUAAAGGCAAAAAAAAAAAAAAGCCCACCAACCAAAUUAGCAAAAAAGGAGCAACCAACAAGCAUUUAAACGAAGAAAACAAAGGAAAAAGGAAAGGAAUAACCACAGUAUCUGUAUACUUAUAUGCUCAAAUUAAGGCCUCUGAUACAAAUUAUAUAGUAAGAUUAAAAAAGUAACACAGUUUCAGAUCCUUCGCACAUCAAAAUGGAAAACCAACUAAGAAGUUUCCAAAAUAUAAGCACUUAUCAACCACAAACACCAUGGACUGAAGCUACUGUAGAACCAAAACAGAUCUUAACGCAGAGAAACACUAAUCGCGCAACAAAAACCCUAAAUCUCCGCAUGCGGGUAACAGAGAUCGAACGGGUAGGGAGCACGCGCGAUCGAUCCCGUCCGAUCGAAAUGGGGGCGAGGGGAUGGCGACAAGCUCACCUUUUGCGGCCCACGCCGCCACCUCCUCCGCCGCCGCCGCCGCCGACCUCGCGGCCCGGCGAAGGUGGUCAAGGGGGCCGAAUUAGGGUUUCCCCGGAGUUGGAAAACCUAGGGAUCGGAGGGGUUCGAGAGCGAGAGUUUGCAAUCGAUCGAGGGAUCGAGGGUUUGAGAGGGCUAGGGUUUCGCAAACGAGCGAGCUUUGAGAGGGUUGUGAGAUUUUUGGAAACACGAGAGCAAGAGCGAGAAAAAACUAAAGCGAUGAGAUGAGAGAGAUUUAUCUGAAGGAAAUAUGCAUUUAGCUCCCUAGCCAAUCACUUAUUUACAACCCCGUUAAAACCGAAAAUGGGUUCAACAUUUUAUUAUGGAUAAUAAUUUUAUUUUAUAAAGUAGUAAUUACUGUAUAAACUAUUUAAUAUUCUGAAACGAUCUAAGAUUUUGUAAAAUAUGAUUAUAAUUUAUACUUUUUCCGUUUGGUUCGGGGUUAAGGAAAAACUAGCUAUUCCAGAGAGUUAAGUUCAGGAUUAAAGUGGGGUUAAAGUUUUUUUGUGUUUGGUUGGGGGUUGGAGUUAGUCUAGAAUAAUGAAAAAUAGUAUUUGGUUGGGUAGGUGGGAUAAGAAGAUAAUAAUUGAUAAAGAAGGAUAAUGAUUGGUUGGAGUACGUAUGAUAAGAAAGAUAGUGGGUUAUUAUGAAUAGAAAAUAGUGUUUGGUUGGAGUUUGGUGGGGUUAGGUGGGUUUAGCUAACCCGGGAUAAUUUAUUUGAGGUGGGGUUAGGUGGGAUUAGCUAAUCCCACCUAUUUUUUGGGAUGUUUGGGGAUAAAAUGGGGGUUAAGGGGGGUUAUUCCACCCCUUAACCCCCAACCAAACAAGGGCUUAAAGAUCAUGUGACAAUGCUAUUAGAGAAAAUUAACGGAAGUAAAACAUAUUUUAUCGGUUGAAAUAAUCAGAUUUAUGUGUUUUUUUUCUUUAAAUUUUUGAAAAUUUUUUGUCUGAUGUGAAAUUUGCUUGAAUGUCCUGCAUAUUUUUUAAAUUUUUUUAGAAUAGUAAUCAAUAAAAUGUCGAAAAAAAUCGUGUUUUUUGAUUUGAAUGGACGAAUAUUUAUCCUCUUUGGUGGGUAAGAAAAUAUGUAAUUUUUUUUUAAAUCAAGUUCACAGAUAAAUUUUAAAAAUUCUUUAAAUUUUGGCUUAAACUUGCCCCAACAGCUAAUGACUUAAAUAAAUGAAUUCCAUUAAACUUUUGACUUAUCACUGAAUCAUUUUCUAAAUAUGAGUUAUGAUUAAUGAUUGUGAUGUUGGAGCCUAUUAUUAGUCAAUUAAAUUGGACCUGACUCAUAAUAUCCCAAUCCAAAUAUGAAGGAAUUCUAAAUAGGUGAAAACGUAUGGAAUUUAUCUAAAUUAUAAACCAUUUUGAAUUGGUUGUCAAUUUUUUUAAAAUUUAAAUUUUACUAUUCAAUCUUUUUAAUUUGUUUGAUUUGAAUUAGUCAAUGGCACUUUGAUUUUAAAAUUUAAAUAAAUUUAGUUAAUAUAUACUUUAUAUAAUUUUGCAACUAUACAUUUAUUAAGUUAAGUAAUUAGCUUAAAUUUUAAAGUCAAAUUAUCGUUAACCGACUCAAAUCAAAUAAAUUGAAAAUGUCCGAUAGUAAAAUCAAAAUUUUAAAAUGAUGGGUGGCCAAUGCAAAAUAGGGCAUAAAUCAGAUAAGGUAUGUAUGAUUUUAUCUUCUAAAUAUAAUGAAACUUUCACUCACUUUUUAUUUAGUAAUAAUAUUGUAUUAAAAAUGAUAUUUAUAAACUUGUAAACAGUUGUAAAUCUUAUGACUCAUUCAUUCAAAAACUAAUUUUCUCUCACUAGUCUUAAAUUCAUGGAGUUACAAAUCAAUUCAAUUCACCUCGAUUUAGCACGAAACAAAAUAUAACUAAUGAUUGAUAAAUUUUGCAAAAAAAAAAAACUUUAUUUUUUUAGGUACAAAAUUGAGUAUCAUGGAUGGUAGUGAGUGUCCAUAAAAGGUGUUCAAAUCAAGUUUUUUAGAGUCUAUUUGGAUGCAUGAAGAUUUUAAUUAAUAAUUUUUUUUUCUAUUUACCAAUAAUGUGCAUGAUCAAUGUUUAAAAAGAUAUAAAAUAUUGGGCCUCGAAAUCAUUCUAUGAUAAAUCACCUCCUGGUGUGGCUUUUAAACCUUUUUAAUGAGCUAAGAUCAAUAAUAAAAAUGAAGUACUCGUAAUAAAUAAUUUAUAACUAGGUAAUUUAUUCGGACAAUUAAACGAAUCAUUUAAACAUUCAUCAUUUAGAUGUUAUUUCAAAUUGUACGGAGAAUUAAUGCAUUAGAUACGGUUAAAAAAAAUACAAUAAGAAAAUUUCCACCUGCUAUCCUAAAGAACUCAAUAAAAAUAAAUUAAAAUACAAACAAUUAUCUCACUUAAAAGUGGAAUUUUAAUGCUCCUUCUAAAAAUUUUACAGUGAAAAGAUACUUUGGGGGUGAUUCCAAGGAAUUUCAGGAAAAAUAAAAUAAUAAUAAGACGAGAAGAUAGAAAGAAACUUCAAAGUUGAGCUCUCCCAUAACACUUCACUAAGGCUGCGUUUGGUUCGGGUAUAAGUAAGAACUGCUAGUUCUAGGGAUAGGUACAAGUUCAGGUAUAAGCAGGAACUAGACCAAUUUUGCGUUUGGAUGAAAAUUGGGUUGUUCCUGGGAAUAGGGUAAAUAGUGUUUGGAUGAUUAGAUUGGAACAAGAGGAAUAAACGUUAUAAUUUAAAAUUAAAAUUAUAUUAUGUAAUUAAUUAACAUAAAAAUAUUACUUAAAAAUAAAUAAAAAAUUAAUUAUUAAUAAUUAAUUAUAAAUAAUAAUUAAUAAUAAUAAUUAAUUAUAAAUAAUAAAUUAUUAAUAACGAUUAUCUAAUUAAUAAUAAUUAUUAUUAUUAUUAAUUAUUAAUAAAUAAUAAUAAUUAUUAAUUAUUCUUAUUAAUUAAUUAUAAAU
Molecule: long non-coding RNA, 16594 nt
Filed under: Ananas comosus (pineapple)
Lineage: Eukaryota; Viridiplantae; Streptophyta; Magnoliopsida; Poales; Bromeliaceae
Description: long non-coding RNA (ACOM_LNC008358)
Source: RNAcentral